This 227-nucleotide long non-coding RNA is filed under the name Paramuricea clavata. Lineage: Eukaryota; Metazoa; Cnidaria; Anthozoa; Malacalcyonacea; Plexauridae. The record is from RNAcentral.
UUACAUGAUAAUUCUGUUCUCGAGGAACUGUUUACACCGAACAAUGUGGUAUGUCGUUGUCUUCAUAGCAUUACAAAGUCAAGUUGUCAAUACAUUCGAAGGAUUUGUGGAUAAUGCUUCGUUGUAUAGCUCAAGAAAGGAAACGUUAUCAGCCAUGGCGUUUCAUGGGGUCAGUGAGAAGUGCAAUAGGUCGCUUGGAAGUCUAGACUCUGAUGCAAGAUGGCAAU